CACAAAAAUGCACAUGCUGUGAGCUCGAUGAGUAGGGCGGGACACGUGGUAUCCUGUCUGAAUAUGGGGGGACCAUCCUCCAAGGCUAAAUACUCCUGACUGACCGAUAGUGAACCAGUACCGUGAGGGAAAGGCGAAAAGAACCCCGGCGAGGGGAGUGAAAAAGAACCUGAAACCGUGUACGUACAAGCAGUGGGAGCACGCUUAGGCGUGUGACUGCGUACCUUUUGUAUAAUGGGUCAGCGACUUAUAUUCUGUAGCAAGGUUAACCGAAUAGGGGAGCCGAAGGGAAACCGAGUCUUAACUGGGCGUUAAGUUGCAGGGUAUAGAC
Molecule: ribosomal RNA, 331 nt
Filed under: Escherichia coli
Lineage: Bacteria; Pseudomonadati; Pseudomonadota; Gammaproteobacteria; Enterobacterales; Enterobacteriaceae
Description: partial 23S ribosomal RNA
Rfam family: Bacterial large subunit ribosomal RNA
Source: RNAcentral